AUGUAACCCAGGUGUCCGCCAUGACCCAAUCACCUUCCCUUUAAGCUGUCCCUUUAAGUUGAUUGUCAUGUGUGCUUCCGGGUUUUGUUUUUUCUUCCCCACCUUGCUGCUACUCGCUGUUGGUUGUUGUGUUGGUUGUUUGUAAAACAACCUGGAGUGUCUGAAUCGACUCAUCACUCAUGUAAUCUCUAAAACUUGAAGAUUGCGGUUGUGAUCCAUUGAGAGCUGGUAAACCUUCCUGUUUUGAGCAAGUUAUCAUUGCAUCUACCUCUACAGAUAAUCCGUUACUCGACGGUCAGGUUUUUUUUUCGCCUUUGCUGUUGCAUUGACUCACUUGAUGACGGAAGAUGGCGAGCUACCCACCCACCAUCUGGUGGUAGGAAAACGGAACUACACUUUCCCUACAGAAACGAACUAAAAACUCUGAGUAUUGAAAAGGGAACAUAAUUAUUCUCUUUUUGUUCUUGGAUCUAUUGUGGACUCUAUUACGUUUGAAGUAUCACUGAUUAUUAUUAUAAUUGUUUUUGUUUUGUUUUUUUUCCCUUUUCUGUUUUUGGAAAUUUAUUGUUUUGUUGUUUUGGUAUUAUUAUUAUUAUUAUUAUUAUUAUCAUUGCCACUGCAAUAAAUAGCAGUAUUAACAAACUUUACUUUUUUUGUAUCAGUUGUAUUAAUUAUUCACCCCACUCAUGACUCCAUGCCGUACCUACUUCUGAUUAUACAAACUGGUUAACACUACACCUCGCAGUCAGAUCUGCUCAGUUGAGAAAGGCG
Long non-coding RNA from Xiphophorus couchianus (Monterrey platyfish), 771 nucleotides. RefSeq lists it as uncharacterized. Lineage: Eukaryota; Metazoa; Chordata; Actinopteri; Cyprinodontiformes; Poeciliidae. The record is from RefSeq and is a predicted model, not a curated record. The transcript has 3 exons.